UAAAGCGCAUGCAGGCGGUUUGUUAAGUCAGAUGUGAAAGCCCGGGGCUCAACCUCGGAACCGCAUUUGAAACUGGCAGGCUAGAGUCUUGUAGAGGGGGGUAGAAUUUCAGGUGUAGCGGUGAAAUGCGUAGAGAUCUGAAGGAAUACCAGUGGCGAAGGCGGCCCCCUGGACAAAGACUGACGCUCAGAUGCGAAAGCGUGGGUAGCAAACAGGAUUAGAUACCCUGGUAGUCCACGCCGUAAACGCUGUCUACUUGGAGGUUGAGGUUUAAGACUUUGGCUUUCGGCGCUAACGCAUUAAGUAGACCGCCUGGGGAGUACGGCCGCAAGGUUAAAACUCAAAUGAAUUGACGGGGGCCCGCACAAGCGGUGGAGCAUGUGGUUUAAUUCGAUGCAACGCGAAGAACCUUACCUACUCUUGACAUCCAGAGAACUUUCCAGAGAUGGAUUGGUGCCUUCGGGAACUCUGAGACAGGUGCUGCAUGGCUGUCGUCAGCUCGUGUUGUGAAAUGUUGGGUUAAGUCCCGCAACGAGCGCAACCCUUAUCCUUGUUUGCCAGCACGUAAAGGUGGGAACUCCAGGGAGACUGCCGGUGAUAAACCGGAGGAAGGUGGGGACGACGUCAAGUCAUCAUGGCCCUUACGAGUAGGGCUACACACGUGCUACAAUGGCAGAUACAGAGGGCAGCGAAGCUGCGAAGUGGAGCGAAUCCCUUAAAGUCUGUCGUAGUCCGGAUUGGAGUCUGCAACUCGAC
Molecule: ribosomal RNA, 756 nt
Filed under: uncultured Salinivibrio sp.
Lineage: Bacteria; Pseudomonadati; Pseudomonadota; Gammaproteobacteria; Vibrionales; Vibrionaceae
Description: bacterial SSU rRNA
Rfam family: Bacterial small subunit ribosomal RNA
Source: RNAcentral